Molecule: ribosomal RNA, 450 nt
Filed under: uncultured bacterium
Lineage: Bacteria
Description: bacterial SSU rRNA
Rfam family: Bacterial small subunit ribosomal RNA
Source: RNAcentral
UGGGGAAUAUUGGGCAAUGGGCGCAAGCCUGACCCAGCCAUGCCGCGUGAGUGAUGAAGGCCUUCGGGUCGUAAAGCUCUGUGGGGAGGGAAGAAACCCGCUAUGGCUAAUAUCCACGGCGAUUGACGGUACCUCCUUAGCAAGCACCGGCUAACUCCGUGCCAGCAGCCGCGGUAAUACGGAGGGUGCAAACGUUGCUCGGAAUCAUUGGGCGUAAAGCGCACGUAGGCGGCUUGUUAAGUCGGGUGUGAAAGCCCUGGGCUCAACCCAGGAAGUGCACUCGAAACUGGCGAACUUGAAUAUGGAAGAGGGUCGCGGAAUUCCCGGUGUAGAGGUGAAAUUCGUAGAUAUCGGGAGGAACACCAGUGGCGAAGGCGGCGACCUGGGCCAAUAUUGACGCUGAGGUGCGAAAGCGUGGGGAGCAAACAGGAUUAGAUACCCCUGUAGUCC